Molecule: ribosomal RNA, 29 nt
Filed under: Juniperus ashei (Ozark white cedar)
Lineage: Eukaryota; Viridiplantae; Streptophyta; Pinopsida; Cupressales; Cupressaceae
Also listed under: 2 other names
Description: partial 26S ribosomal RNA
Source: RNAcentral
CGCGUCCCCAAGUCAGGCGUGAAUACCCG